Molecule: ribosomal RNA, 493 nt
Filed under: uncultured bacterium
Lineage: Bacteria
Description: partial 16S ribosomal RNA
Rfam family: Bacterial small subunit ribosomal RNA
Source: RNAcentral
AUUGAACGCUGGCGGCAUGCUUUACACAUGCAAGUCGAACGGUAACAGGUUAGGCUGACGAGUGGCGAACGGGUGAGUAAUGCAUCGGAACGUGCCCGGUCGUGGGGGAUAACGCAGCGAAAGCUGCGCUAAUACCGCAUACGAUCUGAGGAUGAAAGCGGGGGACCGUAAGGCCUCGCGCGAUCGGAGCGGCCGAUGUCAGAUUAGGUAGUUGGUGGGGUAAAGGCUCACCAAGCCAACGAUCUGUAGCUGGUCUGAGAGGACGACCAGCCACACUGGGACUGAGACACGGCCCAGACUCCUACGGGAGGCAGCAGUGGGGAAUGUUGGACAAUGGGCGAAAGCCUGAUCCAGCAAUGCCGCGUGCAGGAAGAAAGCCUUCGGGUUGUAAACUGCUUUUGUACGGAGCGAAAAGGUCUCCUCUAAUACAGGGAGCUCAUGACGGUACCGUAAGAAUAAGCACCGGCUAACUACAUGCCAGCCGCCGCCGUAA